GAGCAAUCCUGGCGGCGAGUGGCGAACGGGUGAGUAAUACAUCGGAACAUGUCCAGUAGUGGGGGAUAGUCCAGCGAAAGCCGGAUUAAUACCGCAUACGAUCUUUGGAUGAAAGCGGGGGAUCGCAAGACCUCGCGCUAUUGGGGGGARAUGGCGGAUUAGCUAGUUGGUGGGGUAAAGGCCCACCAAGGCGACGAUCCGUAGCUGGUCUGAGAGGACGACCAGCCACACUGGGACUGAGACACGGCCCAGACUCCUACGGGAGGCAGCAGUGGGGAAUUUUGGACAAUGGGCGCAAGCCUGAUCCAGCAAUGCCGCGUGUGUGAAGAAGGCCUUCGGGUUGUAAAGCACUUUUGUCCGGAAAGAAAUCCUGAUGGCUAAUAUCCGUCGGGGAUGACGGUACCGGAUUAUUAAGCACCGGCUAACUACGUGCCAGCAGCCGCGGUAAUACGUAGGGUGCAAGCUUUUAAUCGGAAUUACUGGGCGUAAAGCGUGCGGAGGCGGUGAUGUAAGACCGAUGUGAAAUCCCCGGGGCUUAACCUGGGAAACUGCAUUGGUGACUGCAUCGCUGGAGUAUGGCAGAGGGGGGGUAGAAUUCCACGUGUAGCAGUGAAAUGGCGUAGAGAAUGUGGAGGAAUACCGAUGGCGAAGGGCAGCCCCCCUGGGCCAAUACUUGAACGCUUCAUGCACGAAAAGCGUGGGGAAGCAAAACAGGAUUAGAUACCCUGGGUAGUCCAUCACCCCUAAACGAAUGUCAACUUGGUUGUCGCGGGCCCUUCAUUUGGGUUUGGAUAACCGCAACCU
Molecule: ribosomal RNA, 804 nt
Filed under: Paraburkholderia mimosarum
Lineage: Bacteria; Pseudomonadati; Pseudomonadota; Betaproteobacteria; Burkholderiales; Burkholderiaceae
Description: bacterial SSU rRNA
Rfam family: Bacterial small subunit ribosomal RNA
Source: RNAcentral